Molecule: ribosomal RNA, 253 nt
Filed under: uncultured bacterium
Lineage: Bacteria
Description: partial 16S ribosomal RNA
Rfam family: Bacterial small subunit ribosomal RNA
Source: RNAcentral
UACGAAGGGGGCUAGCGUUGCUCGGAAUCACUGGGCGUAAAGGGUGCGUAGGCGGGUCUUUAAGUCAGGGGUGAAAUCCUGGAGCUCAACUCCAGAACUGCCUUUGAUACUGAGGAUCUUGAGUUCGGGAGAGGUGAGUGGAACUGCGAGUGUAGAGGUGAAAUGCGUAGAUAUCAGGAGGAACACCGGUGGCGAAGGCGCUCAUCUGGCCCAAUACUGACGCUGAAGCGCGAAAGCUAGGGGAGCAAACGGG